This is a long non-coding RNA of Jaculus jaculus (lesser Egyptian jerboa), 1625 nucleotides long. RefSeq lists it as uncharacterized. The record is from RefSeq and is a predicted model, not a curated record. The transcript has 2 exons. Lineage: Eukaryota; Metazoa; Chordata; Mammalia; Rodentia; Dipodidae.
UCCAAGUUCGGUGGAAGCGAGAUAAUCCUUCAAAGGGCUCUUCUGGGGAGUCCAGCGCUGGAGCCUGGCGGGCGCUGGACUUCAGCGAGGCCCACGGAGCCCCUUUGGGAGCCUUAGACUUCCUGGGUGGAUACGCAUCCCGGCUGCCUGCGGGGACAAAAGGUCUUCCUGAUCCCGGCAGAACCCUGUCAUUGUGUGGGGACCAGAGGAAGAUUCCCCGCUCACAAGUGUCUCGGGAGCAUCCGAAGUGUACUUUAUCCUCGGCGUACGAUAUCUCUCAGAAUGACUGGAUCUUGGCUCCUUGACAAAACUUCUACCUCACAGGAAAAUAAUGAUCAUCCAAAAAUGUUUGUUGGAUGAAAAAACAUACCAAAUACUCACAGAGACCUUCUGGCUACUUGUGUGACUAAAACAAGAGUCACAGUGACAUAACCACCAUGGACCAGGCAAGUCUGUCUGUCUGUCUCUCCCUCUCUUCCUCUCCUUAUUAGGUAGCCUGGGAUGACCUUCAGUUUGAGAGCUUUGAGCCUCUCAAGUUCUGAGAUUAUAGCUUGUGCCACAAUGCUGGAUCUCCACCUCUCUUAAAACCCUUUAUCCACAACUUUUAUCACAUCUGGUAUUCAUUACAUUUCACUUGCUCCUAGUAAUGUUGGCCUUUACCAGUGAGUACGAGUGUGUACAAAAACUCAUGUGACUGUUUAUAAAACAAAGGACAGCAGGCUUGAGAGAUGGCUUAGUGGUUAAGGUAUUUGCCUGCAAGGCUUAAGGACUGAGGUUCAACUCCCAGUACCCAUAUAAAGCCAGAUGCUCAAGAUGGCGCAUGUAUCUGGAGUUCAUUUGCAGUGGCUAGAGACCCAACUAUGCCCAUUUUCUCUAUCUGCUUCUUUCCCUCUCUCUCUUUCAAAUGAACAAAUAGAAAUUAUUUUUAAAAAACCCAAAGGACAAACUUCUUAUUAAAAAGGAAAGGGUUGCUCAUGCAGAAAUAUUUGAGAAAAAUGCUUUGUGAAGAUGAAGAAAUGCAAAGUGAAAGAAAACGUAACUCUCCCAUCAUCCCAAAUCUCCUAACAUUUACUGUCUCUUCAGUUUAAUUUUGUUCUACGUGUGCCAUACCAAUGUAUUUGUUCUGAGCAUACGGUGUAAACAGUAGUCCUAGGGGAAGCCCUGCAUGUUAUCUGGACGUUGUCUCCACAGAAAUUGACAUGUACAUGAGGCGCUGUUGGCAAACCAGCAACAAAUACCCCUCCAAGAUGGAUUUUAGAAGUGCAGAAUCUUAGGCUCUCUGCUGAAUCACAGUGUGCAUUUUGAAAGAUCCUGGGUGAUUCACGUUAAAGGUUGGCAAACUCUGACGGAUCCUUUCUAUUCAGUUCUAGAUCUUAGUUGAUAUCAAAAGUCAAAAGGCUUCAUUUUUUUUACUUGGAUUUCCCAUUAAUUGUUAACAAUGCCAUGACACUAGUAAUUUGUAGAAUUGUUGAAAUGAUUAAAGAUUAUAGAAGGUGAAAGAGUUCAUGGGGAUUUAUAAGUUGGAAAAUAGCUCUCUUAAAAGUGUGAUCAUAACUUAUUAAAUAACCAUACAAUGAUGUCAUUUUUUUUCCUAAUAAACUCUUGGUUGAUGACUGGAUUUCAAA